Molecule: ribosomal RNA, 408 nt
Filed under: uncultured bacterium
Lineage: Bacteria
Description: partial 16S ribosomal RNA
Rfam family: Bacterial small subunit ribosomal RNA
Source: RNAcentral
UGGGGAAUAUUGCACAAUGGGCGAAAGCCUGAUGCAGCAACGCCGCGUGAGGGACGACGGCCUUCGGGUUGUAAACCUCUUUUAGCAAGGAAGAAGCGAAAGUGACGGUACUUGCAGAAAAAGCGCCGGCUAACUACGUGCCAGCAGCCGCGGUAAUACGUAGGGCGCAAGCGUUAUCCGGAAUUAUUGGGCGUAAAGAGCUCGUAGGCGGUUUGUCGCGUCUGCUGUGAAAACCCGAGGCUCAACCUCGGGCCUGCAGUGGGUACGGGCAGACUAGAGUGCGGUAGGGGAGAUUGGAACUCCUGGUGUAGCGGUGGAAUGCGCAGAUAUCAGGAAGAACACCGAUGGCGAAGGCAGAUCUCUGGGCCGUAACUGACGCUGAGGAGCGAAAGGGUGGGGAGCAAAACA